This 1019-nucleotide ribosomal RNA is filed under the name Streptomyces griseorubens. RNAcentral describes it as "bacterial SSU rRNA". It matches the Rfam family "Bacterial small subunit ribosomal RNA". The record is from RNAcentral. Lineage: Bacteria; Bacillati; Actinomycetota; Actinomycetes; Kitasatosporales; Streptomycetaceae.
CGGAGGGCGGCGUGCUUACCAUGCAAGUCGAACGAUGAACCACUUCGGUGGGGAUUAGUGGCGAACGGGUGAGUAACACGUGGGCAAUCUGCCCUGCACUCUGGGACAAGCCCUGGAAACGGGGUCUAAUACCGGAUACUGACCCGCUUGGGCAUCCAAGCGGUUCGAAAGCUCCGGCGGUGCAGGAUGAGCCCGCGGCCUAUCAGCUUGUUGGUGAGGUAAUGGCUCACCAAGGCGACGACGGGUAGCCGGCCUGAGAGGGCGACCGGCCACACUGGGACUGAGACACGGCCCACACUCCUACGGGAGGCAGCAGUGGGGAAUAUUGCACAAUGGGCGAAAGCCUGAUGCAGCGACGCCGCGUGAGGGAUGACGGCCUUCGGGUUGUAAACCUCUUUCAGCAGGGAAGAAGCGAAAGUGACGGUACCUGCAAAACACGCGCCGGCUAACUACGUGCCAGCAGCCGCUGUAAUACGUAGGGCGCGAGCGUUGUACGGAAUUAUUGGGCGAUAAAGAGCUCGGAGGCGGCUUGUCACAUCGGAUGUGAAAGCCCUGAGCUCAGCCCCGGGUCUGCAGUCGAUACGGGCAGGCUAGAGAUCGGAAAUGGGAGAUCCGAAUUUCUGGUGUAGAGGUGCAAAGCUCAGAAAUAACGAGGAACACCAGGGGUAUCUGUGGAUCACUAGUCAGACACAGACGCUAAGCAUCGAAAGCGAACAGAUUACAUACGAUGAUAACCACGCCAUACCCUUGGAACUAGGUGUGACUACAUUCGAGUCAACUGUGCCUAGCUAUGCAUUACUUCCCCUCUGGGGACACCCCGCAAAGCUAAACUCAAGGAUUUACUCCCGCCCCUCAGCGGCGCACCUGUAGCUUAUUCAACCACGCUAAAUCUUACCACGCUUGAAUAUCCCAAAGUUUAAAAAUUCCCCCCCUUCACAUAUAUAACGGUGUUUGGCUUUUUCGCUCGUUGGUAAAUUUGUAUUAUUCGUCAACCCCCUACUUUUUGUGUUUUUGGGUGU